Molecule: ribosomal RNA, 273 nt
Filed under: uncultured bacterium
Lineage: Bacteria
Description: partial 16S ribosomal RNA
Source: RNAcentral
CUGCUGCCUUCCGUAGGAGUUUGGACCGUGUCUCAGUUCCAAUGUGGGGGACCUUUCUCUCAGAACCCCUACGCAUCGUCGGCUUGGUGGGCCGUUGCCCCACCAACUACCUAAUGCGCCGCAUGCCCAUCCGUGACCGGGGUCGCCCCCUUUGGCCGGCAGGGGAUGUCCCCUCCCGGCAUUAUGUUGUAUUAGGCGGGAUUUCUCCCGGUUAUCCAUCUGUCACGGCCAGGUUGCAUACGUGUUACUCACCCGUGCGCCGGUCGCCGGCGG